Molecule: long non-coding RNA, 1990 nt
Filed under: Helianthus annuus (common sunflower)
Lineage: Eukaryota; Viridiplantae; Streptophyta; Magnoliopsida; Asterales; Asteraceae
Source: RNAcentral
CAGACUCAUUCUUCUCCUUCGCCGCAUCAUACUUGAAACCCUAGAUUCACAUCUCGGCUACGCUAAUUGCAGAUCAUUCUAUCGCAUCAGGUUUGUUUUUGGUACGAUUACGAUGUUGAGUUCGGCUUUUGAAAAGGAUUUGAUGACCGAGGAGAUGAUAGGGAUCAAGGUAAAUUAGCAAUUGAGGCAACCGAAGACUAUGCACAAGUAGCAAAACUCCAUUCAGCUCUAUAGUUGGUUGACCACAAGAUAAGAAAGGUAGUGUUCGGUGCGAUUUUGAAGAAUAUAUGUAGUGAACAAGUAACUCAAAUCUCUGCCAUGGAAUUUCUCUUCAUGGCAUAGAACAAUGGCAGGUGCUAUGGCGAAACAUCGGGCCUUUGGAAUUUCUCUUCAGCCAAAACUAUAUUCUCACUACCUGCACUGUUGACAUUUCAUGAAUAACAACGACCCAAACACUGUGGAUGAGCUUUUGGAUCCACAUGUAGUCAAGAAAAGGAAAUUUUUAUGAUAGUGUGAAACUGGAACAAGGGGCUGCGGCUUCACUACUUAAGGAAUGGUGUUAAAGAUGUGGAUACAAGGAAGCCAUAAGUAACUAAAGAGGGAAGAUUCAUACCUCACAUUGAUUCAUCAAAACUUGAGAGAGACCUACGCAACAAGUCUUACAUAUGUUAAAGGUCAUUGCAGCCAAUAUUAUUACUGAUCGAGAUUCCAGAAGGUUUUGAGGAUUUGGUUUUAUUAGUUAUACAUCAACUGAUGCAGCUAAUAGCGCUCUCUGUUUCCCUGCAUAAAACCGUAAAUCAAAGAGACGAACUCUCAUCCAGCAUCAGUGGUCGUAUUCUGACAAAGGCCCGGCUACAAGUGGCAGCUCCCGAUGCAUAAAGGCAGUAUUGAGUGUCUGUUUAAUGGUGGAAAUGGAGAAUCUGGCAACCCAGACAGCAGAUCCGACUGAUUUAGGGACCAGCUACGUUAAUCCAAUAAGCACGGUUAUCAUGUUCUUUGUUCCAAUUUGCUAGAUCCAGAGUUUAAACAGUGGUGAUAUUUAUUAUUCUGGUGUUUAUAGGCGUUGGUGUUGACCGGAGGCUGUGGAGGCGUUUCUGUUGACUGGAGGCAUAUGGAUCUUGAGUUGGGGUAUUCUUAAUUAUGUUCAUGGUGUGUGAUUCGUGUAGUUCGUGUGUUAUGUAGGUGGGUUUUGCUACAAUAAGUUUAAGAUGAAAACCCCAUAAAUAUUGGUCGAGGGCAUUUAAUCAUGGUUCUUAGGGUUUUGGCAUCAUUGCUGGUCAUGCAACUUCAACCGAUCGAAGCUGGUUAUUGAUUUCAGUCAUUGGGGGAGUUAUCAUGUGUAAAGUUUUUCAUGUGCAGAGUGAUGAAUUUGAUUUGAUUUAAGUGCAUUCUUUGUUUAUUUGAAGAACAUCGACUUCUCCAAGCACCCAAGGAACCUUUCUCUGGGAAGUCAAACUAUAUUGUUAUCAGGGCCCUCAUCAAAUGCUUGCCAAAGCUUUGGAUCAUUACUUUAAAGCCAAGUUGUUACUGCAAGAUGUCACUGAUUUUUCACUCAAGGUCCAAUAUGGAGCAUCCUAUAAGCUCAGGUGGUUUUAAUGUAUGUGAUGGUCCCACCAACUUGGGUCAGUUACCAAUUAAACGUACAGGGAAAAAGAGCCACAUGCAUUGCUUCAAUCUCCGUCUUUAACAAACACAAGACAUGGUAUUACAGGGGUUGCCAACAAUCUGAGACAUAAGCACACCAAAGUUUACAUGAAAGGAUGAAGCGACAGUAGGAGAGCCAUUCAAGUAUGAACAAAAAAUAUGUGCAUUCAAGUUUAAGUUUACAUGAAAGGAUGAAGCAACAGGCCAAAACCAAAAAAAUUAUUAUUUUGUACCCUUUAAUUUGUUUGCUCCGAAUAGUUUACAAAACGAUUUUUUAAUGUGUACUGAACAACAUGAAUAGAUUGGGUUAAUUUUUAACUUUUGGAACUAAAAGUUUUACCUCUCG